RNAcentral lists this ribosomal RNA (1084 nucleotides) under Treponema sp. oral taxon 237. RNAcentral's name for it is "bacterial SSU rRNA". It matches the Rfam family "Bacterial small subunit ribosomal RNA", at positions 28 to 1084 of the family's 1533-position model. Lineage: Bacteria; Pseudomonadati; Spirochaetota; Spirochaetia; Treponematales; Treponemataceae. The record is from RNAcentral.
AACGAACGCUGGCGGCGCGUCUUAAGCAUGCAAGUCGAACGGCAAGAGAGAAGCUUGCUUCUCUCCUAGAGUGGCGGACUGGUGAGGAACACGUGGGUAAUCUACCCUUAAGAUGGGGAUAGCUGUUAGAAAUAGCAGGUAAUACCGAAUACACUCGAUAGUUCAUAAGAAGUAUUGAGGAAAGGAAGCUACGGCUUCGCUUGAGGAUGAGCUUGCGUCCCAUUAGCUAGUUGGUGAGGUAAUGGCCCACCAAGGCGACGAUGGGUAUCCGGCGUGAGAGGGUGAACGGACACAUUGGGACUGAGAUACGGCCCAAACUCGUACGGGAGGCAGCAGCUAAGAAUAUUCCGCAAUGGACGGAAGUCUGACGGAGUCGACGCCAGCGUGGAUGAAGAAGGCUGAAUAAGUAUGUAAAAUCCUUUUGUUGAUGAAGAAUAAGGGGAAGAGGGAGUGCUUCUCUGAUGACGGUAGUCGGCGAAUAAGCCCCGGCUAAUUACGUGCCAGCAGCCGCGGUAACACGUAAGGGGCGAGCGUUGUAUCGGAAUUAUUGGGCGUAAAGGGCAUGUAGGCGGUUAUGUAAGCCUGAUGUGAAAUCCUGGGGCUUAACCCCAGAAUAGCAUUGGGUACUGUGUAACUUGAAUUACGGAAGGGAAACUGGAAUUCCAAGUGUAGGGGUGGAAUCUGUAUGAUAUCUUGGAAGAACACCGGUGGCGCAAUGGCGGGUUUACUGGCCGAUAAUCGACGCUGAGAUGCGAAAGUGUGGGGAUCGAACAGGAUUAGAUACCCUGGUAGUCCACACCGUAAACGAUGUACACUAGGUGUUGGGGCAAGAGCUUCAGUGCCAAAGCAAACGCGAUAAGUGUACCGCCUGGGGAGUAUGCCCGCAAGGGUGAUACUCAGAGGAAUUGACUGGGGGCCCGCACAAGCGGUGGAGCAUGUGGUUUAAUUCGAUGGUACGCGAGGAACCUUACCUGGGUUUGACAUCUAGUAGAAUGUCUUAGAGAUACGGGCCGGGUAGCAAUACCCUGCCAGACAGGUGCUGCAUGGGCUGUCGUCAGCCCGUGCCGUGAGGUGUUGGGGUUAG